GUCAGUCAGUGUCAAGAUGGUGGGAAAAAUCUUGUGUUAUUUUCGUUAUUUUCUCCUCUUCCUUUCGUCCAGCGACACCCACGCCGUCACGUAAGCUGCCUCAAGGAGAGAGCAGACGUACGGCGGGAGACCAGCGUGCGAAGGCCCCGACAAACCCAGACUGUGCCUGAUGCUGGGGCUGCGUCGCGUCCAGGUAUCUUCAGGGAUGGAAAACUGCACCGACAAGACAGACAACCAGGUGUGUGAACGAGGGCGUGGCGGCUCCCGAGACUUGCUACCGAGAGAACUACCAUCACAACCCCGCCCAUGAUGCUACGCCACGCCCACUCCUGAGAGAAGGAUGAAGACUUCCAACACCUUCGGGAACGAGGAUUGUGACGUGAAAGGCUGUACAGUGGAGUAUGCUUUGUUGUUUAUACUUUGCUCUUUUCCUCCUCCAUUGCUAAGAGGAAAAUAAGGAGGAAAAGAGGAGGAAGAGGAAGAUUAGGGGGAAAAGGAGGAAGAGAAAGAUUAGGAGGAAAAGAAGAGGAAGAGGGUGCCAAGUCUUCACACCCAAAACCAAACAAAAAAACAAUAAGGACAUGAUGAAAUUGAACUCACAGGCCAGUUUAGCAAUUGCAUUAUUAUUAUUUGACCAAAUAUAUACAAAUAAAGUGCCUUCACAAAAUAAUAAAACUGAUAUGUUCAAAGAUAAAACAAGGAGCAUUACCUCUGCGUCCACUUGGCCACAGCAGCAGCAUUAGGUCAGGUCAACAGGCUCACCACAGACUGACUUGACCCCGCCCACACAAGGGAACGGGGCCCAAGAAGGAGGAGGAGGAGGAAGGGGACCCAGAAACACACAUGCAACACAAGUAUCACACGAAUUUUGCACAAGGGGAGGGUGAUGAAGGGAGAAGAGAAAGUUAGAGGGGAGAAAAAUAUCGACAUGCUUACGUAGAUUUCACAUACACAAGAAGCUUUUUGGACACUGUUUUCACAUCAAAGACUUCAUACUGGACAUUUUUUUAGACACGGAUAAGUGGAAAAUUUUGUCACAAGUAAAUGCCAACACGAGAGUGAGUCUGUACGCACGGAAAACGGCUUACGGGAAGGUAGGCGACAGUACGCGGGCCUCGGAGGAACACACGAACCUCACUUGCUUGUUUUGCCUCGCCGGAAAACAUGGGCGUGGCGUUCGUACCUGGCUUUGUUGACGAGACUCCCACAUGAACAAAUCUCUCUGACGCGCACACACACACACACUAAUGCACAAUGUGAGGUCUUGCAUACUCAUACUUGUAGAGGCACUGCUUAAGCCACCAAAAAAAUUAUUCUUGCGUUACUCAACAGAACAACACAAAAGUUGGUUAAAUAGUUAAACGGAAGUGUGGUAUUUUUCUCUGUUUCUUUUGGUGGCCGUCGCAGUGCUGCUCCGAGCUAGCCGAGGGAGCUGCCCACUGGCCCAGGGAGCCACCUAGUGUUUUGAGCUGCCAGUGAACAGAAAGGGUGAAAAGCCAGACAUUACAUUCUGCCACAAACUUAAGUCCGCUAAACAAAUAUACAUGUAUUCCGUGUAUAUAUAUAUAUAUGCACUGUAUCGUAUAUAGUAGUAUUUUGUUUUUUAUUUAUAUAUAUAUAUAUAUACUAAAACUCAUGAGGCACAUUAUAUAAAAAUCUCGAUAAACUUCUGGUAAAAAUUAUGUACAGGCUUAUGUAUACGUAUGAAAUCUGCAAAAUGGAAUGUAUAAACAGCAGGUGUGGGGGCAGCAGCGGCGGCGCACGUGCAUCUCUGUAGUGUUUUUGCCUCUGUCCAGAACGACUUUACACGCCGGAGAGGAAGGCUCGCAGCGCGUCCCGAGGAGAAACCAGAACAACGACAAUAAUUUACAGGCAACGAAAACCUCUUUGCAGGAAGGCAGAACGGCUGAGCAUCGACUGGUCAACACACUGGGGUCACUUGGAGGGACGGGACACACCCCAACCCCGAUAGCGACUCAUUCCACUCGCUGCCAAGACGAGGAAAUAAAUUAUAUCACACUUUCCACGCAGAUCACACUGCUUGGCGCAUCCACAGGCAGGGGAAGGAGACGAGAAGGGGAGGGAAGAGAGAUGGAAGAAAGAGGAAGAGAAGAAGGAGGAGGAGGAGGA
This is a long non-coding RNA of Eriocheir sinensis (Chinese mitten crab), 2130 nucleotides long. RefSeq lists it as uncharacterized. The transcript has 3 exons. The record is from RefSeq and is a predicted model, not a curated record. NCBI's taxonomy places the organism in Eukaryota, Metazoa, Arthropoda, Malacostraca, Decapoda, Varunidae.